Molecule: small nucleolar RNA, 137 nt
Filed under: Jaculus jaculus (lesser Egyptian jerboa)
Lineage: Eukaryota; Metazoa; Chordata; Mammalia; Rodentia; Dipodidae
Description: Small nucleolar RNA SNORA46 (ENSJJAG00000006144.1)
Rfam family: Small nucleolar RNA SNORA46
About the family: ACA46 is a member of the H/ACA class of snoRNA that guide the sites of modification of uridines to pseudouridines.
Source: Rfam by way of RNAcentral
AGCACUAUAUUUAAACCUAGGAUGGGAAUUUUCCCCAUCCUGGGUUACGCUGUAGUGCAAAAGAAUUCCUGGCUCCUUUAUGUUGCUCAGCUAACCUGUGCCAUUUUGCUGUUGCUUUAUGGAGUUAAGGAACAUGA